GCUGGGCAUGGUGGCGCAUGCCUGUAAUCCCAGCUACUUGGGAGGCUGAGGCAGGAGAAUCGCUUGAACCCGGGAGGUGGAGGUUGCCGUGAGCCGAGAUCACGCCAUUGCACUUUACCCUGGGCAACAAGAGUGAAACUCUGUCUCAA
RNAcentral lists this non-coding RNA (149 nucleotides) under Pan troglodytes (chimpanzee). The record is from Rfam by way of RNAcentral. Lineage: Eukaryota; Metazoa; Chordata; Mammalia; Primates; Hominidae.